This 2235-nucleotide long non-coding RNA is filed under the name Sorghum bicolor (sorghum). RNAcentral describes it as "long non-coding RNA (SBIC_LNC007931)". Lineage: Eukaryota; Viridiplantae; Streptophyta; Magnoliopsida; Poales; Poaceae. The record is from RNAcentral.
GUCUAGUUUAGAGGUAUGGGAUAACUCUGUCUUAUAUUUGAUUUACACACACACACUAGAUAUGCGCUUUUGGUCAUGAAUUUUUACGUACAACUAGGUUGACAUGCGUAAGUUAUAGUUUAGAUAAACAUAUUAAUAAAUCUAUAAAUUUAGUUAUACAGAAAAUAUAAAGUUGUCUUCGCCUUCCUUCAAUCAUAUAGAAUAGUUUCACUUCACAUUGAUAGUGACAAGGCGCAAUUUGUGUGCUAAGGACGUCCCCAAUAAUUUCCAAAUAGCUAUUCUAGGAAGAAUUUCAUUGACUAUCAAGAAGAGAGAUCAAAUAGUCAGUGACUCCCAAAUAGCCAGUCUACCACGACCUACUAGAAACAUCUCUCUCACAACUAACUCCUUACUAUAAUGCUUAUUUUCUAUUAUUUCUAUGUCUUAUCUAGUUAGUUAUUUAUAAAUUACCAUUGCGAACGCCUAAGCACUACAUGGAUUCUCUCAGUCCUAUAGGGUGUUUUUUUGCCCCACAGGUCUCAGGUUUGGGACUGGAUCGGGUCAUGUGCAAGAGCAGAUUUUAAAGCAAGUCCAAUACAACUUAUCUAUAAGCUAUGCCAAGUCAUCAAUACACAUGUUUAGAGUCUAGCACAAAUAAUAUACAAAUAAUAUUUAGUCUUUUUAUAGUCUAAAUAUUAUUUUUUAUUCAAUAUGUAAAGAUAGAAAGGCAAGAGGUAACCUCUAUGGAUAGAAAACAUCUUAGCAUAUGUGACGAGUUGAUCGACAAAACUAACGUCAAGCAUAGCUUUCUCUCUCUUCUUUUUGACUAACAUGGCAAUUGAAUCAGACUAUUAUUGUACAUACUUUUAUUAUUUUUACAGUGGCGCUGGACCCGAGCCUAGCGAUCCACGAGCACUCGCACGGGCAAUGUGAGGUCGAGUUUGAGUUUAGCUGCAGCAACAUGCAGUCCAUUGUUCGCAUCCAGCGGAGACCUCAACCUCCUCGACGCCGCUGCUAACUUGUAUUUUUUCGAUUUUAUUUGAUUUGGUUUGAUAUUUUUAUUUUUUCGAUUCAGAUUUAGAAUGAUUUGAUAUCUGAUUUGGAGGAGCGAGGCAAAAAAACCGAGGGCGAGCUAAGUAGGCGGGGCAUUCUUCUUAUUUGACUUGUAUUUUUUUUCCCUGAUUUCAUUGAUUUGGUUUGAUAUUUUUAUUUUUUUCCAAUUCAGAUCUGAAACAAUUUGAUUUGAUUUGAUUUGAUAUCCAAUUGUAAUUUGGAGGGGUGAGGCAAAAGAUCCAAGGGCGAGCUAAGCAGGGCAGGGCAAUGUGCUUAUUUGACUUGUAUUUUUUUUUCUGAUUUCAUUUGAUUUGGUUUGAUAUUUUCUCUUUUUGGACUCAGACUUAGAAUGAUUUGAUUUGAUAUGCUAUUAUGAUUUGAAGGAGCAAGUCCAAAAAUCCAAGGACGAGCUGAGCAUAGUGGGAUGGUAUGAUGAUACCUCUGUGUAUUUUUUAGGUGUAGAUAGAUAUAUUCCUUAUACUCCCUCUAGUCAAACGAGCUCAAUUUCAAUCAAAUAUAUAUAAUAGAUUAGUAAUAUUUAUAGUGUGUGAUAAGUUUCAUUAGAUUAAUUAUUGAAUAUAUUUUUAUAAUAUAAUUAUUUAGAGAUAUAAAUAUUACUAAUACUUUUUAUAAAUCUAAUCAAACUUAAAAAAAUUACAUAACAUGGAAAUCUAGGCGUCACUUAGAAAUUAAAGGAACCACGGGAGUACUUGGGUAAGAACAAUUGAAGGUAAGAUAAAGACACAUACAUGUGGAGUCCACCUAUGAGUUUUCUGUUUUUAUUCUUCUUUGUCCUAAUCCUUUCUUCUUUCUUUUUCAUUAAAAUUUGUUUUAUUUACUAAUAAACAUGUUGUAACAGUACAUAUUGUAUGAUGCUCGUGCCAAUGGUAAUAAGCUAGUUAUUUUGUUGAAUUCAAUUAGGCUUGGUCAACCUUAAAUCAAAUAAAUUCCAAUGCUUAUAAUACUAGUGUAAUAAAGGAGUCCGCAUGAAAAAUUGAUAUUGACUCAAUUAAAAUAAGUGAUUAUUCUUAUUAUAUGUAUAAUUUAUAAAUUUUAUAAGAGGUGGAAGACGAAUCACACGCCCGCAUAUGCAUUAUGGUAUGAGCAAGCUCAAAUGGCUAGGCCAUAACAUCAGUCAUGUUAGAGUAUCUCCAAGAGUCUUUCUAAAUCUCACUCUCUAAAUUAUCAUUUGGAGAGUCAUUU